Molecule: non-coding RNA, 342 nt
Organism: Clostridiales bacterium
Lineage: Bacteria; Bacillati; Bacillota; Clostridia; Eubacteriales
Source: Rfam
GGGGACGCACUGGUUUCGACAGGAGUAGUUGUGCUAAUGACAGCGGGUCGGGAUCCCGGUCAUCCCGUUAAACACCGGACUUAACUUACACGCAAACAACGAAUUUGCACUGGCAGCUUAAUGCCACGCCGCCUUAUGUUUUCCUACGGCAUAAGCUCGGCGUCAACCGGUAGGAUACGUUAACGCGCGCGACUGACGCACGUUAGCGGAAACUCUUCAGUCUAGCGGCGGUCGGCUUGUUCAUGAGCGAAGCCGUUGCGAAAUCCCGAUCAUGAACUGCACCCGGAGCGGUUGUUAGGGCAAUACUUUUGGACAGGGGUUCGACUCCCCUCGUCUCCACCA